Molecule: ribosomal RNA, 390 nt
Filed under: uncultured bacterium
Lineage: Bacteria
Description: bacterial SSU rRNA
Rfam family: Bacterial small subunit ribosomal RNA
Source: RNAcentral
UUUUGGACAAUGGGGGCAACCCUGAUCCAGCCAUUCCGCGUGAGUGAAGAAGGCCUUCGGGUUGUAAAGCUCUUUCGCGAGGGAAGAAAACUUAUGAUCGAAUAAAUCAUGAGGUUGACGGUACCUUGAUAAGAAGCACCGGCUAACUACGUGCCAGCAGCCGCGGUAAUACGUAGGGUGCGAGCGUUAAUCGGAAUUACUGGGCGUAAAGCGUGCGCAGGCGGUUUUGUAAGUCGGAUGUGAAAUCCCCGGGCUCAACCUGGGAACUGCGUUCGAACUGCAAGGCUAGAGUGUGUCAAAGGGGGGAGAUUCCACGUGAGCAGUAAAUGCGAGAAUGUGAGAAUCCAAUGGGAGGAGCCCCCUGGGAACCUGCGUCUCCAAUUAAGUAAA